UAGGCAGUGUAAUUAGCUGAUUG
Molecule: non-coding RNA, 23 nt
Filed under: Mus musculus (house mouse)
Lineage: Eukaryota; Metazoa; Chordata; Mammalia; Rodentia; Muridae
Source: RNAcentral